Non-coding RNA from Phrynosoma platyrhinos (Desert horned lizard), 72 nucleotides. NCBI's taxonomy places the organism in Eukaryota, Metazoa, Chordata, Lepidosauria, Squamata, Phrynosomatidae. The record is from the annotation of a GenBank genome assembly.
GUCAGUGUGGAGCAAUGGUUUAAGCGUUGGACUACAAUUCUAGAGCCCAGGAUUCGAAUCCCUGCUCAGCCA